RNAcentral lists this ribosomal RNA (843 nucleotides) under uncultured bacterium. Its description in RNAcentral is "bacterial SSU rRNA". It matches the Rfam family "Bacterial small subunit ribosomal RNA", at positions 72 to 917 of the family's 1533-position model. The record is from RNAcentral.
UUGAGAGCUUGCUCUCAUGAGAGUGGCGCACGGGUGAGUAACGCGUAUGCAACCUACCUUUAACUGAGGGAUAGCCCAUAGAAAUGUGGAUUAAUACCUCAUAGUUCUUUUGGCCCGCAUGGGUUGAAAGAUAAAGCUCCGGCGGUUAAAGAUGGGCAUGCGUGACAUUAGCUAGUUGGUAAGGUAACGGCUUACCAAGGCUACGAUGUCUAGGGGUUCUGAGAGGAUGAUCCCCCACACUGGUACUGAGACACGGACCAGACUCCUACGGGAGGCAGCAGUGAGGAAUAUUGGUCAAUGGGCGCAAGCCUGAACCAGCCAUCCCGCGUGCAGGAUGACGGCCCUAUGGGUUGUAAACUGCUUUUAUACACCAAGAAAAAACAGGACGUGUUCUGGACUGACGGUAGUGUAUGAAUAAGCAUCGGCUAACUCCGUGCCAGCAGCCGCGGUAAUACGGAGGAUGCAAGCGUUAUCCGGAUUCAUUGGGUUUAAAGGGUGCGUAGGCGGCUUUUUAAGUCAGUGGUGAAAUCCUGCCGCUUAACGGUAGAAUUGCCAUUGAUACUGAAGAGCUUGAGUACAGUUGAGGUAAGCGGAAUGUGUAGUGUAGCGGUGAAAUGCUUAGAUAUUACACAGAACACCAAUUGCGAAGGCAGCUUACUAAACUGAUACUGACGCUGAUGCACGAAAGCGUGGGGAGCGAACAGGAUUAGAUACCCUGGUAGUCCACGCCGUANACGAUGUUCACUCGCUGUUUGCGAUACACAGCNAGCGGCCAAGCGAAAGCAUUAAGUGAACCACCUGGGGAGUACGAUCGCAAGGUUGAAACUCAAAGGAAUUGACGGG